CGUAGGAGGCAAGCGUUAUCCGGAGUAACUGGGCGUAAAGGGCGGGUAGGUGGUUGCGUAAGUUGGUUAUGAAAGCUCCUGGCUAAACUGGGAGAGGUUGACCAAGACUGCGCGACUUGAGUGGAGAAGAGGUAAACGGAAUUCCGCGUGUAGUGGUGAAAUGCGUAGAGAUGCGGAAGAACACCAGUGGCGAAGGCGGUUUACUGGUCUCCAACUGACACUGAACCGCGAAAGCAUGGGUAGCGAACGGGAUUAGAAACCCCGGUAGUCCAUGCCGUAAACGAUGCACACUAAACGUUCGACAUCCGCGAGGGUGUUGAGUGUUGAAGCCAACGCGAUAAGUGUGCCGCCUGGGGAGUACGGUCGCAAGGCUA
This 374-nucleotide ribosomal RNA is filed under the name uncultured organism. Its description in RNAcentral is "bacterial SSU rRNA". It matches the Rfam family "Bacterial small subunit ribosomal RNA", at positions 526 to 896 of the family's 1533-position model. The record is from RNAcentral.